GACCUUUUAUUCUCUAAGGUUUGACCUCGGAUCAGGUGGGGAUACCCGCUGACUUAAGCAUAUCAAUAAGCGGAGGAAAAGAAACCAACAGGGAUUGCCCUAGUAACGGCGAGUGAAGCGGCAACAGCUCAGAUUUGAAAUCUGGCGUCUUUGGCGUCCGAGUUGUAAUCUGUAGAGGAUGCUUUUGGGUAGCCACCGGUCUAAGUCCCCUGGAACGGGGCGUCACAGAGGGUGAGAAUCCCGUAUGUGACCGGAAGGGCACCCUCCACAUAGCUCCUUCGACGAGUCGAGUUGUUUGGGAAUGCAGCUCUAAAUGGGAGGUAAAUUCCUUCUAAAGCUAAAUACCGGCCAGAGACCGAUAGCGCACAAGUAGAGUGAUCGAAAGAUGAAAAGCACUUUGGAAAGAGAGUUAAAAAGCACGUGAAAUUGUUGAAAGGGAAGCGCUUGCAACCAGACUUGUUGGCGGUGUUCCGCCGGUCUUCUGACCGGUUCACUCACCGUCUGCAGGCCAGCAUCAUCUGGGGCCGCCGGAUAAAAGCGAGGGGAAUGUGGCUCCCCCGGGAGUGUUAUAGCCCCUCGUGCAAUACGGCGGAGUCUCGG
RNAcentral lists this ribosomal RNA (600 nucleotides) under Capnodium sp. 339855. RNAcentral's name for it is "eukaryotic LSU rRNA". It matches the Rfam family "Eukaryotic large subunit ribosomal RNA", at positions 1 to 587 of the family's 3401-position model. The record is from RNAcentral. Lineage: Eukaryota; Fungi; Ascomycota; Dothideomycetes; Capnodiales; Capnodiaceae.